RNAcentral lists this ribosomal RNA (1512 nucleotides) under metagenome. RNAcentral's name for it is "bacterial LSU rRNA". It matches the Rfam family "Bacterial large subunit ribosomal RNA", at positions 1425 to 2917 of the family's 2925-position model. The record is from RNAcentral.
CUUGGUUAAUAUUCCUGUACUUCUGGUUACUGCGAUGGAGGGACGGAGAAGGCUAGGCCAGCUUGGCGUUGGUUGUCCAAGUUUAAGGUGGUAGGCUGAAAUCUUAGGUAAAUCCGGGGUUUCAAGGCCGAGAGCUGAUGACGAGUCGUCUUUUAGAUGACGAAGUGGUUGAUGCCAUGCUUCCAAGAAAAGCUUCUAAGCUUCAGGUAACCAGGAACCGUACCCCAAACCGACACAGGUGGUCGGGUAGAGAAUACCAAGGCGCUUGAGAGAACUCGGGUGAAGGAACUAGGCAAAAUGGCACCGUAACUUCGGGAGAAGGUGCGCCGGCUAGGGUGAAGGAUUUACUCCGUAAGCUCUGGCUGGUCGAAGAUACCAGGCCGCUGCGACUGUUUAUUAAAAACACAGCACUCUGCAAACACGAAAGUGGACGUAUAGGGUGUGACGCCUGCCCGGUGCCGGAAGGUUAAUUGAUGGGGUUAGCGCAAGCGAAGCUCUUGAUCGAAGCCCCGGUAAACGGCGGCCGUAACAAUAACGGUCCUAAGGUAGCGAAAUUCCUUGUCGGGUAAGUUCCGACCUGCACGAAUGGCGUAACGAUGGCGGCGCUGUCUCCACCCGAGACUCAGUGAAAUUGAAAUCGCUGUGAAGAUGCAGUGUAUCCGCGGCUAGACGGAAAGACCCCGUGAACCUUUACUGUAGCUUUGCACUGGACUUUGAGCCUGCUUGUGUAGGAUAGGUGGGAGGCUUUGAAGCGUGGACGCCAGUUCGCGUGGAGCCAUCCUUGAAAUACCACCCUGGCAUGCUUGAGGUUCUAACUCUGGUCCGUAAUCCGGAUCGAGGACAGUGUAUGGUGGGCAGUUUGACUGGGGCGGUCUCCUCCUAAAGAGUAACGGAGGAGUACGAAGGUGCGCUCAGACCGGUCGGAAAUCGGUCGCAGAGUAUAAAGGCAAAAGCGCGCUUGACUGCGAGACAGACACGUCGAGCAGGUACGAAAGUAGGUCUUAGUGAUCCGGUGGUUCUGUAUGGAAGGGCCAUCGCUCAACGGAUAAAAGGUACUCCGGGGAUAACAGGCUGAUACCGCCCAAGAGUUCAUAUCGACGGCGGUGUUUGGCACCUCGAUGUCGGCUCAUCACAUCCUGGGGCUGAAGCCGGUCCCAAGGGUAUGGCUGUUCGCCAUUUAAAGUGGUACGCGAGCUGGGUUUAGAACGUCGUGAGACAGUUCGGUCCCUAUCUGCCGUGGACGUUUGAGAUUUGAGAGGGGCUGCUCCUAGUACGAGAGGACCGGAGUGGACGAACCUCUGGUGUUCCGGUUGUCACGCCAGUGGCAUUGCCGGGUAGCUAUGUUCGGAAAAGAUAACCGCUGAAAGCAUCUAAGCGGGAAACUUGCCUCAAGAUGAGAUCUCACUGGGAACUUGAUUCCCCUGAAGGGCCGUCGAAGACUACGACGUUGAUAGGCUGGGUGUGUAAGCGUUGUGAGGCGUUGAGCUAACCAGUACUAAUUGCCCGUGAGGC